Molecule: ribosomal RNA, 301 nt
Filed under: uncultured bacterium
Lineage: Bacteria
Description: partial 16S ribosomal RNA
Rfam family: Bacterial small subunit ribosomal RNA
Source: RNAcentral
CAGCAGCCACGGGAAUACGUAGGUGGUAAGCGUUGUCCGGAAUUAUUGGGCGUAAAGGGCUCGCAGGCGGUUUCUUAAGUCUGAUGUGAAAGCCCCCGGCUCAACCGGGGAGGGUCAUUGGAAACUGGGAAACUUAAGUGCAGAAGAGGAGAGUGGAAUUCCACGUGUAGCGGUGAAAUGCGUAGAGAUGUGGAGGAACACCAGUGGCGAAGGCGACUCUCUGGACUGUAACUGACGCUGAGGAGCGAAAGCGUGGGGAGCGAACAGGAUUAGAUACCCCGGUAGUCCCUGUCUCUUAUAC